This 123-nucleotide ribosomal RNA is filed under the name Providencia rettgeri. RNAcentral's name for it is "partial 16S ribosomal RNA". It matches the Rfam family "Bacterial small subunit ribosomal RNA", at positions 1 to 118 of the family's 1533-position model. The record is from RNAcentral. Lineage: Bacteria; Pseudomonadati; Pseudomonadota; Gammaproteobacteria; Enterobacterales; Morganellaceae.
UAAUUGAAGAGUUUGAUCAUGGCUCAGAUUGAACGCUGGCGGCAGGCCUAACACAUGCAAGUCGAGCGGUAACAGGGGAAGCUUGCUUCCCGCUGACGAGCGGCGGACGGGUGAGUAAUGUAU